CAAAAGAAUCAGUUCCAUGUUCCAUGCUUGGAACAUCUUUUCUUCAGGUUAUGGAAAACUUGCUUAAACAUUCUGAGUUUUUUCUUCCUAGUUUGUAAAACAGGUUCUUCAUCUCAGUUUCCUUUGAAGCGACCAGGUGCUGCUGCCUAAGCAUGAAAGGAGCAGUGGCUGCUAGGAAAAGCAAGAGAGAAUUGUAUUCCUUUUACACAGCUUUCAUAAUUAUGACUGGUCCUGGACAAAGUUACUCUUGAGUGUCAGGCUCACUAUCAGAGAGCCAUUAUAUUUUGAAAGAUAUGCCUUCUUUCAUCAUCAUCUUGUUCAGAAGAAUGGGAUAGUGUGAGGUUAAAAAGAGAAGGUUGGAAGACUCUGAGGAAUACCAUCAUUCCAAGACUAUAGAUUUAUCCACAAAUAUAUGGAACUGAUAGAACUUCAGGAAUUCCAGUUUGUGGUGUAGACAUGAAUCUCUGGUUUAAAUAUGAAUAUGCAUGACAGCAACACGAAGUUAUCCCACUUCAGCUCUUUUAAGAGAGGCCC
Molecule: long non-coding RNA, 534 nt
Organism: Passer domesticus (house sparrow)
Lineage: Eukaryota; Metazoa; Chordata; Aves; Passeriformes; Passeridae
Exons: 4
Source: RefSeq, a predicted model, not a curated record